RNAcentral lists this ribosomal RNA (503 nucleotides) under uncultured bacterium. RNAcentral's name for it is "partial 16S ribosomal RNA". It matches the Rfam family "Bacterial small subunit ribosomal RNA", at positions 28 to 523 of the family's 1533-position model. The record is from RNAcentral.
GAUGAACGCUGGCGGCGUGCCUAAUACAUGCAAGUCGAACGAAGAUCUAGCUUGCUAGAUCUUAGUGGCGAACGGGUGAGUAAUACAUAAAUAAUCUGCCCAUAUGACUGGGAUAACUAUUGGAAACGAUAGCUAAUACCGGAUAGGUUGAUCGGAGGCAUCUCUGAUGAAUUAAAGUAGGAUUUCUACACAAAUGGAUGAGUUUAUGGCGCAUUAGUUAGUUGGUGGGGUAACGGCCUACCGAGACGAUGAUGCGUAGCCGACCGGAGAGGGUGACCGGCCACACUGGGACUGAGACACGGCCCAGACUCCUACGGGAGGCAGCGGUAGGGAAUUUUCGGCAAUGGGCGCAAGCCUGACCGAGCAACGCCGCGUGAGUGAUUAAGGCCUUCGGGUUGUAAAGCUCUGUUGUAAGGGAAGAACAUUCAGGAUAGGAAAUGAUCUUGAACUGACGGUACCUUACCAGAAAGCCACGGCUAACUACGUGCCAGCCGCCGCCGUAA